CUGACCUGCCCUAUGAGGAAUUCAAUGGCCGCAGUAUUUUAACUGUGCUAAGGUAGCAUAAUCAUUUGUCUUUUAAUUGAGGGCUGGAAUGAAAGGUUGGACGAGGUAUUAGCUUUCUUUAAUUUAGUUUUAUGAAUUUAAUUUUUGAGUUAAAAAGCUUAAAUUUAUUUGUUGGACGAGAAGACCCUAUAGAUCUUUAUAAUUUUAUAUUCUAAUAAUUUAGGGAUUAUCUUAUUUAGAGUAAAAGAAUUAUUUUGUUGGGGUGACUGUAGAAUUUUUUAAACUUCUAUUUAUUGUUAUCAUUUAUUUAUGUUUAUUUGAUCCAUAAUUUAUGAU
Molecule: ribosomal RNA, 336 nt
Filed under: Triatoma rubida
Lineage: Eukaryota; Metazoa; Arthropoda; Insecta; Hemiptera; Reduviidae
Description: partial 16S ribosomal RNA
Source: RNAcentral